CCUACGGGAGGCAGCAGUGAGGAAUAUUGGUCAAUGUGCGCGAGCCUGAACCAGCCAAGUAGCGUGAAGGAUGACUGCCCUACGGGUUGUAACCUUCUUUUAUAAAGGAAUACAGUGAGGCACGUGUGCCUUUUUGUAUGUACUUUAUGAAUAAGGAGCGGCUAACUCCGUGCAAGCAGCCGCGGUAAUACGGAGGAUCCGAUCGUUAUCCGGAUUUAUGGGGUUUAAAGGGAGCGUAGAUGGGUUGUUAAGUCAGUUGUGAAAGUUUGCGGCUCAACCGUAAAAUUGCACUUGAUACUGGCAGCCUUGAGUACAGAUGAGGUAGGCGGAAUUCGAGGUGUAGCAGGGAAAUGCUUAGAUAUCACGAAGAACUCCGAUUGCGAAGGCAGCCUACUAAACUGCCACUGACAUUGAUGCUAGAAAGUGUGGGUAUCAAACAGGAUGAGAUACCCGUGUAGUC
This 460-nucleotide ribosomal RNA is filed under the name uncultured bacterium. RNAcentral describes it as "partial 16S ribosomal RNA". It matches the Rfam family "Bacterial small subunit ribosomal RNA", at positions 338 to 795 of the family's 1533-position model. The record is from RNAcentral.